AAAUAUACUGGAAUAUUUUCUGAGAAAUAGCCAGAUUACAGCAGAAGACGGUGCUGAGAUCACCUGGUAUCAUGCAGCUAACCACAAGGCACAAACAAAUGAGGCACUGAAAAGUACUGCUCACAUGAUAGAGGCUGAUGUCCUUCUUCCAAGUGAUGGAUCAGAACACAGCCAGCCAAUUAUGGCCCAUCCCCCUGAAACAAACAGUGAUAAUACUCUACAGGAGUGGCUGACUGAAGUUAUGAAAAGCAAUAAAGGCAUCAAGCUGGAUUUCAAAAGUCUGGCAGCUGUAGAACCAUCCAUGAUGCUCUUGGAAAAUGUGAAGAGGCAUCUGAAGCGUCCUGUAUGGAUUAAUGCCGAUAUUCUUCCUGGUCCAAAUGGAAAUAGCAAAGUAAUAGAUGCAAAACCAUUUUUAGACACCGUGACAUCCUUCUUUCCAGACGUGACGUUUUCCCUGGGUUGGACAACAGGAUGGCAUCCUGAGAAAGUCAAUGAAGGGUACAGUUGGACAAUGGUGAAAGAGAUGGAAUAUAUAUGUAAUGAGCUAAGUCAGCCUGUAACGUUCCCUGUCAGAGCAGCAUUACUCAGGCAGUCUUGUUCUCAGUUACUUUGGCUGUUAAAGAAAUCAAACAGGUAUGUAAUAGUUUAACAAAUGUGUAUGUGAGUGUGUAUGAGAGACAGAGAUAGAAAGGGCAUGAAAAUUGAUUUUUUAAGGACAGUGUGUGUGAGAGAAAGGUAGACAGAAAAGGAAUGAAAACUGAUGAUAUAAGCGCACAGACUCCCUCACCGGAUUGGAGCUCCUUGAUGAACCUUAACUUACUUAACAUCGUAUAUUUUACCCCUAUUCCUCACAAAAGUUUUUGUACAUAGUAGGUGCUCGGUAAGUGUUAGCUGUCUUUUUCAUUAUAUAUUCACAAAAAAUUAUGAGUGGAUAAAUUAGCUUCUUUUUAAAUUUCAUCAUAAUUUCAGAAAUCAGCCAGGUGUGGUGGCUCACACCCGUAAUCCCAGCACUUUGGGAG
RNAcentral lists this small RNA (1019 nucleotides) under Pan troglodytes (chimpanzee). RNAcentral describes it as "retained intron". Lineage: Eukaryota; Metazoa; Chordata; Mammalia; Primates; Hominidae. The record is from RNAcentral.